Echinops telfairi (small Madagascar hedgehog) is the source of this 142-nucleotide small nucleolar RNA. Lineage: Eukaryota; Metazoa; Chordata; Mammalia; Afrosoricida; Tenrecidae. The record is from Ensembl.
UUACCAAAAGUUGAUUUUUGGAGGCAAGGGUUUUUUAAUAACCUUUACCAGUUUGGGCUGUUUGGGAGAAUAAAGAGAAGACUGCAUUCCACAGUGGGCUAUACCACUUAGUACAGUUGGCUACUAUUUUGUGGCCUACAUU